This 465-nucleotide ribosomal RNA is filed under the name Vreelandella stevensii. Its description in RNAcentral is "partial 16S ribosomal RNA". It matches the Rfam family "Bacterial small subunit ribosomal RNA", at positions 338 to 795 of the family's 1533-position model. Lineage: Bacteria; Pseudomonadati; Pseudomonadota; Gammaproteobacteria; Oceanospirillales; Halomonadaceae. The record is from RNAcentral.
CCUACGGGAGGCAGCAGUGGGGAAUAUUGGACAAUGGGGGCAACCCUGAUCCAGCCAUGCCGCGUGUGUGGAGAAGGCCCUCGGGUUGUAAAGCACUUUCAGUGAGGAAGAACGCCUGGUGGUUAAUACCCAUCAGGAAAGACAUCACUCACAGAAGAAGCACCGGCUAACUCCGUGCCAGCAGCCGCGGUAAUACGGAGGGUGCGAGCGUUAAUCGGAAUUACUGGGCGUAAAGCGCGCGUAGGUGGCUUGAUAAGCCGGUUGUGAAAGCCCCGGGCUCAACCUGGGAACGGCAUCCGGAACUGUCAAGCUAGAGUGCAGGAGAGGAAGGUAGAAUUCCCGGUGUAGCGGUGAAAUGCGUAGAGAUCGGGAGGAAUACCAGUGGCGAAGGCGGCCUUCUGGACUGACACUGACACUGAGGUGCGAAAGCGUGGGUAGCAAACAGGAUUAGAUACCCCAGUAGUC